Molecule: non-coding RNA, 549 nt
Organism: Mesocricetus auratus (golden hamster)
Lineage: Eukaryota; Metazoa; Chordata; Mammalia; Rodentia; Cricetidae
Source: the annotation of a RefSeq genome assembly
CUCACCAUGGGAUGGAGCUGGAUCAUCCUCUUCCUGAUGACAGCAACUACAGGUGUCCACUCCCAGAUACAGCUGCAGCAGUCUGGGGCUGAGCUGGUGAGGCCUGGAGCCUCAGUGAAACUGUCCUUCACUGGCUACAGCUUCACUGGCUACUAUAUGCACUGGGUGAAGCAGAGGCCUGGGCAGGGCCUGGAGUGGAUUGGAAGAAUUGAUCCAUCAGAUGAUGAAACUAAAUAUGCACAGAAGUUCCAGGGCAAGGCCACACUAACUGCAGACAAAUCCUCCAGCACAGCCUAUAUGGAGCUAAGCAGUCUGACAUCUGAGGAUUCUGCAGUCUAUUACUGUGCAAGACACACAGUGUUGCAACCACAUCCUGAGUGUGUUGGAAACCCUGCAGGAGGAGGAAACUGCCCUGGGACUGAGAUGAUAGAGAGGAACACCCUCGAGAUUUGCCAACAAAUAAUCACACUGAGUGUCCCUUUGUUACUUCCCAGAGUUAGAGAGAUUAGUCAAAUUUUCAAAAGGACUGCAGCGAAUAAGUUAGGAUGA